RNAcentral lists this ribosomal RNA (497 nucleotides) under uncultured bacterium. Its description in RNAcentral is "partial 16S ribosomal RNA". It matches the Rfam family "Bacterial small subunit ribosomal RNA", at positions 28 to 507 of the family's 1533-position model. The record is from RNAcentral.
GAUGAACGCUGGCGGCGUGCCUAAUACAUGCAAGUCGAGCGAACAGACGAGGAGCUUGCUCCUCUGACGUUAGCGGCGGACGGGUGAGUAACACGUGGAUAACCUACCUAUAAGACUGGGAUAACUUCGGGAAACCGGAGCCAAUACCGGAUAAUAUAUUUAACCUCAUGGUUCAAUAGUGAAAGACGGUUUUGCUGUCACUUAUAGAUGGAUCCGCGCCGCAUUAGCUAGUUGGUAAGGUAACGGCUUACCAAGGCAACGAUGCGUAGCCGACCUGAGAGGGUGAUCGGCCACACGGGAACUGAGACACGGUCCAGACACCUACGGGAGGCAGCAGUAGGGAAUCUUCCGAAAAGGGCGAAAGCCUGACGGAGCAACGCCGCGUGAGUGAUGAAGGUCUUCGGAUCGUAAAACUCUGUUAUUAGGGAAGAACAAAUGUGUAAGUAACUAUGCACGUCUUGACGGUACCUAAUCAGAAAGCCACGGCUAACUACGUG